RNAcentral lists this transfer RNA (58 nucleotides) under Zorotypus medoensis. Its description in RNAcentral is "tRNA-Trp". Lineage: Eukaryota; Metazoa; Arthropoda; Insecta; Zoraptera; Zorotypidae. The record is from RNAcentral.
AAGGAUUUAAGUUAAUUAAACUAUUAACCUUCAAAGUUAAAAAUAUUUUUAAGCCUUA